RNAcentral lists this long non-coding RNA (221 nucleotides) under Phaseolus vulgaris (common bean). RNAcentral describes it as "long non-coding RNA (PVUL_LNC002879)". Lineage: Eukaryota; Viridiplantae; Streptophyta; Magnoliopsida; Fabales; Fabaceae. The record is from RNAcentral.
CUCAUGGGACACCUCAUCAGCAAUAACAUGACCGGAGACCGUCGUAAAGAGACCGGAGAGGGCAGCAGAUCUCACUUACUAGUGAGGAAUGAUGGUAAUGGUUCCCAGCACAGAAGAGUCUAUAGGAGUAAUAGUUCCACUACGUUCUUUUUCUCUAAUUUUCCAGAUGAUUACGGAGAAAAGGACAUGCUCAAAACCUUUCAAAGGUGGGCAAGGGUGAC